Molecule: non-coding RNA, 178 nt
Filed under: Gallionella sp.
Lineage: Bacteria; Pseudomonadati; Pseudomonadota; Betaproteobacteria; Nitrosomonadales; Gallionellaceae
Description: 6S RNA
Rfam family: 6S / SsrS RNA
About the family: E. coli 6S RNA was the first non coding RNA to be sequenced, but its function was unknown until recently. It consists of 184 nucleotides that fold into an extended hairpin structure with a large single-stranded internal bulge. The 6S RNA specifically associates with RNA polymerase holoenzyme containing the sigma70 specificity factor.
Source: RNAcentral
UUGUCCCUGCGGUGCUCGACAGAUCCAUAAUUCUUUGAACCAAUAAGCUCUGCUUAAGGUUGUGACCUUUGAUGUUGCUGUUGUGAAUGUCCCUUGCGGAUAUACCUGAUGCGACUUGGAAGCAACCCUCUUGAACCCAGGUUCAAGAUAUUGGGUCACCGGCACAGGCGGGGGCUUU